GAUGAACGCUAGCGGCAGGCCUAAUACAUGCAAGUCGAGGGGUAGAAGAGGCUUGCUUCUUUGAGACCGGCGCACGGGUGCGUAACGCGCAUGCAACCUACCUUCAUCUGGGGGAUAGCCCGGAGAAAUCCGGAUUAAUACCGCAUAAAAUCACAGGAUGGCAUUAUCCAAUGAUCAAACAUUUAUGGGAUGGAGAUGGGCAUGCGUGUCAUUAGCUAGUUGGCGGGGUAACGGCCCACCAAGGCGACGAUGACUAGGGGAUCUGAGAGGAUGGCCCCCCACACUGGAACUGAGACACGGACCAGACUCCUACGGGAGGCAGCAGUAAGGAAUAUUGGUCAAUGGAGGCAACUCCGAACCAGCCAUGCCGCGUGCAGGAAGACUGCCCUAUGGGUUGUAAACUGCUUUUAUUCGGGAAUAAACCUUAUUACGUGUAAUAAGCUGAAUGUACCGAAGGAAUAAGGAUCGGCUAACUCCGUGCCAGCAGCCGCGGUAA
This 496-nucleotide ribosomal RNA is filed under the name uncultured bacterium. Its description in RNAcentral is "partial 16S ribosomal RNA". It matches the Rfam family "Bacterial small subunit ribosomal RNA", at positions 28 to 523 of the family's 1533-position model. The record is from RNAcentral.